This is a long non-coding RNA of Beta vulgaris subsp. vulgaris (sugar beet), 226 nucleotides long. RefSeq lists it as uncharacterized. Lineage: Eukaryota; Viridiplantae; Streptophyta; Magnoliopsida; Caryophyllales; Amaranthaceae. The transcript has 2 exons. The record is from RefSeq and is a predicted model, not a curated record.
GUGCACUGAAGCUUCGAAACUACCCCUCUUUGUUCUUCGCGUCGCUGCUCUUGUGAGCAGAGGUUUGAUAUUCAGAGUUCGGAAUUCGAAGUGGAGCAAGAUCAAGGUGUCAUAGUGGCUUAAGGAUUAAGCUUGUAUUUUAGAUAGUUGGUUUGAGAAUAGUUAUUGAUAUUUCGUUGUAUAAUAUUUGGGAAUUUUAGUUCAAUUAUUGGUGUAUUUAAGGAUA